RNAcentral lists this ribosomal RNA (104 nucleotides) under Streptomyces evansiae. RNAcentral's name for it is "Streptomyces sp. DSM 41979 partial 23S ribosomal RNA". It matches the Rfam family "Bacterial large subunit ribosomal RNA", at positions 2821 to 2925 of the family's 2925-position model. The record is from RNAcentral. Lineage: Bacteria; Bacillati; Actinomycetota; Actinomycetes; Kitasatosporales; Streptomycetaceae.
UGAGAGGGUAAGGCUCCCAGUAGACGACUGGGUUGAUAGGCCGGAUAUGGAAGCCCUGUAAGGGGUGGAGUUGACCGGUACUAAUAGGCCGAGGGCUUGUCCUC